This 79-nucleotide transfer RNA is filed under the name Gregarina niphandrodes. It matches the Rfam family "tRNA". From Rfam's summary of the family: Transfer RNA (tRNA) molecules are approximately 80 nucleotides in length. The record is from Rfam by way of RNAcentral. Lineage: Eukaryota; Apicomplexa; Conoidasida; Eugregarinorida; Gregarinidae.
GGUGGCGUGGUGCAAUGGGCAAUGGUUAGCACUGGAGACUCUGAAUCUCCCAAUCAGGGCUCGAUUUCCUGCGCGACCU